This 800-nucleotide ribosomal RNA is filed under the name uncultured bacterium. Its description in RNAcentral is "bacterial SSU rRNA". It matches the Rfam family "Bacterial small subunit ribosomal RNA", at positions 32 to 820 of the family's 1533-position model. The record is from RNAcentral.
AAGGAAGGGGGGAGGCCUAAACAUGCACCUCGAACGGUAACAGGAAGAAGCUUGCUUCUUUGCUGACGAGUGGCCCCCUUAAAGAGUAUGUCUGGGAAACUGCCUGAUGGAGGGGGCUUUCAACUGGAAACGGUAGCUAAUACCGCAUAACGUCGCAAGACCAAAGAGGGGGACCUUCGGGCCUCUUGCCCUCCGAUGUGCCCAGAUGGGAUUAGCUAGUACGUGGGGUAACGGCUCACCUAGGCGACGAUCCCUAGCUGGUCUGAGAGGAUGACCAGCCACACUGGAACUGAGACACGGUCCAGACUCCUACGGGAGGCAGCAGUGGGGAAUAUUGCACAAUGGGCGCAAGCCUGAUGCAGCCAUGCCGCGUGUAUGAAGAAGGCCUUCGGGUUGUAAAGUACUUUCAGCGGGGAGGAAUGGAGUAAAGUUAAUACCCUUGCUCAUUGACGUUACCCGCAGAAGAAGCACCGGCUAACUCCGUGCCAUCAGCCGCGGUAAUACGGAGGGUGCAAGCGUUAAUCGGAAUUACUGGGCGUAUAGCGCACGCAGGCGGUUUGUUAAGUCAAAUGUGAAAUCCCCGGAAUCAACCUGAGAACUGCAUCUGAUACUGGAAUGCUUGAAUCUCGUACAGGGGGGGUAGAAAUCCAGGUGUACCGGUGAAAUGCAUAUAGAUCUGGACGAAUACCGGUGGUUAAGGCGACCCCCUGGAAGAAAACUGACUCUCAUUUAGCGAAGCCUGGGGCACAAAUAUGAUUAUAUCCCCUUUUUAUUCUCCCCCUUAUACUAUGUUCUAUUUU